CCUACGGGCGGCUGCAGUGAGGAAUAUUGGUCAAUGGGCGCGAGCCUGAACCAGCCACGUAGCGUGAAGGAUGACUGCCCUACGGGUUGUAAACUUCUUUUAUAAAGGAAUAAAGUGAGGCACGUGAGCCUUUUUGUAUGUACUUUAUGAAUAAGGAUCGGCUAACUCCGUGCCAGCAGCCGCGGUAAUACGGAGGAUCCGAGCGUUAUCCGGAUUUAUUGGGUUUAAAGGGAGCGUAGAUGGGUUGUUAAGUUAGUUGUGAAAGUUUGCGGCUCAACCGUAAAAUUGCAAUUGAUACUGGCAGUCUUGAGUACAGUUGAGGUAGGCGGAAUUCGUGGUGUAGCGGUGAAAUGCUUAGAUAUCACGAAGAACCCCGAUUGCGAAGGCAGCUUACUAAACUGUGACUGACAUUGAUGCUCGAAAGUGUGGGUAGCAAACAGGAUUAGAUACCCCGGUAGUC
Molecule: ribosomal RNA, 460 nt
Filed under: uncultured bacterium
Lineage: Bacteria
Description: partial 16S ribosomal RNA
Rfam family: Bacterial small subunit ribosomal RNA
Source: RNAcentral